GCCCGGAGCGCGAAGCGGCUCUCUCCUCUCUGUCCCAGCAGAGCUCUGCAGCGCUGCAGCCUGCGGUCCCUCCAAGUGAACGGCCGCCGUGCUGCGGUUUCUCUGUCAGUCCUCCCCCGGCAGCACGGACAUCCACGGCUGUGUGAGCCGCGCUGAGGUCUCCUGCUCUCCGAGGGGCACCGACUCACCGCGCUGACGGGCCGGACUCGAUGAAAAAUUUGGCAGCUGGUUCAGGCGUGCUGUGACAGCCUCUCACCAAUCAGACAGCACCACUCGCAGUUCGGUUUGAGAUGGGAACAGGAAGAAAUGUGUCAACACUUUCGUGUCUCUGCGUGUCGGAGCGGCAUGCCUGGCCCGGCUGCGUGCUGCGGGCACACGUGUCACGGGCAGCACCAGGGCUGUGCGGGGCUGUGCUCCGCCUGCAGGGCGGUGAGCCCGAGCCCCACGGCACCUCAGGGCCCCUCAGCACCGCUGUGUGCAGGCGCUGCCGUGUCCCAGCAGGGCAGGCCGUGCUCUGAGCCUCUGUGUGAACGUGACAGCGUGCCCCACGCACUGUGGGGCUGGGAUUAAAAACAGACUGUGUGCAAA
Lagopus leucura (white-tailed ptarmigan) is the source of this 588-nucleotide long non-coding RNA. RefSeq lists it as uncharacterized. The record is from RefSeq and is a predicted model, not a curated record. The transcript is spliced from 2 exons. NCBI's taxonomy places the organism in Eukaryota, Metazoa, Chordata, Aves, Galliformes, Phasianidae.